This 1356-nucleotide unclassified non-coding RNA is filed under the name Hevea brasiliensis (rubber tree). The record is from RNAcentral. Lineage: Eukaryota; Viridiplantae; Streptophyta; Magnoliopsida; Malpighiales; Euphorbiaceae.
CUCCAUGCAAGAGCAGCUCUCUCACAUUUGCAAUAAGCCUGUAUCAGUACUUUGAACAUAUAAGCAUCUGGCUCCACACCACUCUGCCUAACCAUCGUAAAUAAUUUCUGCACAGUUUUAAUAUCNNNNNNNNNNNNUCAACCCAGAAAAUGUCUGGAUAUCUGGGCAUAUAUCAUUUAAAAUCAUCUCUUCAAGCACAUCAACGGCAUCAGAAUUUCUAUUGCACUUGGUCAAUGUUCGCAGCAGAGAUGAAUACAAAAGCAUCAGAUUAAAUUUUGCUAUGGAACCACAGAUUGGUCUGUCAUCAUGGAAGACCUUCAAUGCAGCAUCAGCAUUCUUUGAAACACCAUAGAAGUCGAUGAUCAAUCUGAUGGUGCUAAAAGGUAAUCUCAUUCCCUCGCAUCUUAUUUUGUUUAUCAAUUUAUCAACUAAUUCAACCUUCCCAUGACGUGCCAAAAUUGUAAUCAUCCUUUGAACUGUAUAAACAUCAUGAGUGAAUCCUGGCUGAUAAGCAACCCAACAGAAAAAAUCCCAAGCUGUUUCAGGCGAUCUAAAGUUCCUAAGAACCUUGCAAACCAACCGAGUCGUCCACACAAAUUUUGCACCCUCCAAUGUGGACACCACCUCAGGGCUCCAUUGAUUCAAAGCAUUUGCCAAAGCUUUUGGGUCCAACCAUGGUUUUAACCUAACUUCAUUAGCAUCAGUGUGAACAUAUCCAUGGCUAACAUCCUCAUCAUCAUCCUCAUCACUACCAUCUGUACAAGAUCCUAUACUCUUUAUUCUCUCAUCAGGAAACAUUUCUCUAAGAAACUCCUCCGUCUCCAGGGAAAAUCCUGCCUCAUACAUAUGCUGCAAAGCUGUACGCAUGGCGCCACCAGGAAAUUUCCCAUCAAUCCGCAUUCAAAGUUUUGACCAUGUCAAACCUCUGGGCACCCACAAAUCCUUUCACCAAAACUGAAUACUGCUUCGAAGUCCUUUUGAUUCUCAUCAACGGCAAUUUACCAAAAAUCUCAAUUGCCGCAUCCAAUUGCCCUGAACUAAUAAGAUGCUCAAUCAUAACCGUGUAAGUUCUAGAAUUCGGAAUUGCCCCUUCAUCAAUCAUCCUGUAAAAAAUCUCUACAGAUUCCAAAUCCUUGCCAAUUUGAGCGUACAGACUCAUAACAAUGUUGUAACACUCAGUACACACACGGUUAACACUGCGUCUAUACUCCUCCCAGGUAUCUAAAACUGCCUCUGCAUCUCCAGUGGCAGCAUACCACUGCAUAAGGUCCAUAAAGCUAACGCGAGCAUUAUGAUAUCUGCCUGCCUUAAUCUCGCUAAUCAGGUACCUCAGCUCCAAAGUCCUGCCGGACCUGG